Long non-coding RNA from Teleopsis dalmanni, 925 nucleotides. RefSeq lists it as uncharacterized. NCBI's taxonomy places the organism in Eukaryota, Metazoa, Arthropoda, Insecta, Diptera, Diopsidae. The transcript has 3 exons. The record is from RefSeq and is a predicted model, not a curated record.
UUCAAUAAAUGUUUUUUAACUCCGCAGUGUCCAGUUAGAAAACCUGUGACAAGUCGGAUGCCACUUGAAAAUUACUUAGUUACUUCCUUUAUUAUUGGGAGAGUACAGAGACAAAGAAAUAAAGGAAAUAUGAAAUCAAGAAGAACACGAAACGUGAUUUAAAUUAAAUUGAAGUUGACAAUAGUGUUGACAAUAAUUCAGCUCCUUUGCGAAGUUCGUUCAAAUGUGCUUUGAUUGAAAUACCGCCUAAUUUUGAUUCCUUUCAUAUUGGUUCUAUGAACUUGGUUUGUAGGCAUUGUUUAGCUAAGCAUUUUGCUAAAGAGUCUACAAUGCGUGAAAGAAAUUUCUGCACUAUGUAUUGUCAUAAGGAUAACGUAUAUCUUCCACUAUUAACACAAAAUAAUAUUUUUUAUUCCAUUGUAUGACGGUCUCACAUCAAAUGAUAACAAUAUAAAAAAAAAGUCUGAAAAUUAUUUCGACUAUAUUUGAAGCUACAAUUCGGCUUAUGCUAGGGUCAGUUUGGAAGCUAAUAUUUCUGACACAGUUUUAAGAGGAACUUAUCAUUGUAUUUUUACGAUGUCUGUUACGAUACCGCUGUUCAAUAUAGAAUGCGACAGUAAUCAAAUAAAACUCUCAAUGCUGUUUUGAUGAGACAAAUUUCUGUUGAAUUGGAUAAAAAUAAUUCAUUUAUUCGUUCAUUUCGAACAAUGAAGGAACAUUGUGAUAGAGUAUGCAAUGCACAGAAAGAGAUUUGUAAGGCAAUUACCGUGAAUCGUGAUUCAGAUAUAUGAAGACAUAAUGAUGCAACUUUCUUAUGUACACACAUAUGAUUUCGUUAGAUGGGAGUAUAUCGUUUCAAUACAAAACUAAUUGAAGAUUUUAGUUCCUUGGGUAUUUAGCGACAAAUCGCUGUUUCAUUAGAAAU